This is a non-coding RNA of Drosophila melanogaster (fruit fly), 450 nucleotides long. Lineage: Eukaryota; Metazoa; Arthropoda; Insecta; Diptera; Drosophilidae. The record is from Ensembl.
ACAGGGUGCUUUUUUUUCCUCAGCACUUAGAAAACUUUCUCAGUGAGUUUUUUUUAGGACAUUAUAACAGAUUCAAGUAAAAUAGUUACUACAUAUUUGGGUAUAACUAUAAGUUGCUUAUUAAAAACUAACUAAGAAUUGGUAAAUUUAUACGUCCAAAUAGUUUAACAUGAUAAAAUAUAAUUAAAAAUUUUAAAAAUAAAUAUUAUUUACGAACCAGGACAACCAUUAUAUUAAAUAAUUUAAAAUUUACCAAAUAAAUAUUAUUUUUGAACCACGACACCCAGUAUAACAUUUGGUAUGUAACUCACGUACAUAGGACUCUUUUACGCCUUUCUAUGUGUGCGUGUGUGCAUGCAUGUAUGUAUGUAUGUUUGUCUAUGUAUUCAGCUGACUUGCACCCACGCACGUUUAUGGAUAGAAAAUUUCUCAAUUUCAAAUGCAAAUAUU